GCCAUCGAAUGAGGCAAGACUACCCGCUGAAUUUAAGCAUA
RNAcentral lists this ribosomal RNA (41 nucleotides) under Isochrysis galbana. Its description in RNAcentral is "partial 28S ribosomal RNA". The record is from RNAcentral. Lineage: Eukaryota; Haptophyta; Isochrysidales; Isochrysidaceae.